Molecule: transfer RNA, 84 nt
Filed under: Armatimonadota bacterium
Lineage: Bacteria; Bacillati; Armatimonadota
Description: Armatimonadetes bacterium (hot springs metagenome) tRNA-Leu
Rfam family: tRNA
About the family: Transfer RNA (tRNA) molecules are approximately 80 nucleotides in length.
Source: RNAcentral
GGGCGAGUGGUGGAAUGGCAGACACGCCAGACUUAGGAUCUGGUGCCGAAAGGCGUAGGAGUUCAACUCUCCUCUCGCCCACCA